Molecule: ribosomal RNA, 64 nt
Filed under: Bacillus sp. Gen3
Lineage: Bacteria; Bacillati; Bacillota; Bacilli; Caryophanales; Bacillaceae
Description: partial 23S ribosomal RNA
Source: RNAcentral
AGGUGGAAGUGUGGCGACACAUGGAGCUGACGAAUACUAAUAGAUCGAAGACUUAUCCUAAUUU